UACGGAAGGCAGCAGUGGGGAAUAUUGCACAAUGGGCGCAAGCCUGAUGCAGCCAUGCCGCGUGUAUGAAGAAGGCCUUCGGGUUGUAAAGUACUUUCAGUCGUGAGGAAGGUGUUAAGGUUAAUAACCUUAGCAAUUGACGUUAGCGACAGAAGAAGCACCGGCUAACUCCGUGCCAGCAGCCGCGGUAAUACGGAGGGUGCGAGCGUUAAUCGGAAUUACUGGGCGUAAAGGGCACGCAGGCGGUUAAUUAAGUUGGAUGUGAAAUCCCCGGGCUUAACCUGGGAAUGGCAUUCAAGACUGGUUAGCUAGAGUCUUGUAGAGGGGGUAGAAUUCCAUGUGUAGCGGUGAAAUGCGUAGAGAUGUGGAGGAAUACCGGUGGCGAAGGCGGCCCCUGGGACAAAGACUGACGCUCAUGUGCGAAAGCGUGGGGAGCAAACAGGAUUAGAACC
RNAcentral lists this ribosomal RNA (452 nucleotides) under uncultured bacterium. RNAcentral's name for it is "bacterial SSU rRNA". It matches the Rfam family "Bacterial small subunit ribosomal RNA", at positions 340 to 785 of the family's 1533-position model. The record is from RNAcentral.